GAAAAGAAACUAACAAGGAUUCCCCUAGUAACUGCGAGUGAAGCGGGAAGAGCUCAAAUUUUGAAUCUGGCGGUCUUUGGCCGUCCGAGUUGUAAUCUAGAGAAGUGUUUUCCGCGCUGGACCGUGUAUAAGUCUCCUGGAAGGGAGCGUCGUAGAGGGUGAGAAUCCCGUCUUUGACACGGACUGCCAGUGCUAUGUGAUGCGCUCUCGACGAGUCGAGUUGUUUGGGAAUGCAGCUCAAAAUGGGUGGUAAAUUCCAUCUAAAGCUAAAUACAGGCGAGAGACCGAUAGCGAACAAGUACCGUGAGGGAAAGAUGAAAAGAACUUUGGAAAGAGAGUUAAACAGUACGUGAAAUUGCUGAAAGGGAAACGCUUGAUGUCAGUCGCGUCUGCCGGGGAUCAACCUUGCUUCUCGCUGGGUGUACUUCCCGGUCGACGGGUCAGCAUCAGUUUCGGUCGCCGUACAAGGGUGAGGGGAAUGUGGCACUCUUCGGGGUGUGUUAUAGCCUUUCGUCGUAUGCGGCGCUCGGGACUGAGGAACUCAGCACGGCCUCGCGUCUGUGCUUAGGAUGCUGGCAUAAUGGCCUUAAUCGACCCGUCUUGAAACACGGACCAAGGAGUCUAACAUGCCUGCGAGUGUUUGGGUGACAAACCCGAGCGCGCAAUGAAAGUGAAAGUUGAGACCUCUGUCGUGGAGGGCAUCGACGCCCGGACCUGAGUCUUUGACGACGGAUCUGCGGUAGAGCAUGCAUGUUGGGACCCAAAGAUGGUGAACUAUGCCUGAAUAGGGUGAAGCCAGAGAAACUCUGGUGAAGCUCGUAACGAUUCUGACGUGCA
Molecule: ribosomal RNA, 837 nt
Filed under: Neoboletus subvelutipes
Lineage: Eukaryota; Fungi; Basidiomycota; Agaricomycetes; Boletales; Boletaceae
Description: Suillellus subvelutipes partial large subunit ribosomal RNA
Rfam family: Eukaryotic large subunit ribosomal RNA
Source: RNAcentral